GAGUUUGAUCCUGGCUCAGGACAAACGCUGGCGGCGUGCCUAAAACAUGCAAGUCGUACGGUCCUUCGGGACAGUGGCGGACGGCUGAGUAACGCGUGGGUGACCUACCCUUGAGUGGGGAAUAACGGUCCGAAAGGAUCGCUAAUACCGCAUACGACCAUUCGGUUUCGGCCGGAUGAGGAAAGCCGCAAGGCGCUCGAGGACGGGCCUGCGUCCGAUUAGCUAGUUGGUGGGGUAAUGGCUCACCAAGGCGACGAUCGGUAGCUGGUCUAAGAGGAUGAUCAGCCAGACUGGGACUGUGACACGGCCCAGACUCCUACGGGAGGCAGCAGUUAGGAAUCUUGGGCAAUGGGCGAAAGCCUGACCCAGCAACGCCGCGUGGGUGACGAAGGCCUUCGGGUCGUAAAGCCUUUUGCACGGGAAGAUGAUGACGGUACCGUGCGAAUAAGCCCCGGCUAACUACGUGCCAGCAGCCGCCGU
Molecule: ribosomal RNA, 480 nt
Filed under: uncultured Alphaproteobacteria bacterium
Lineage: Bacteria; Pseudomonadati; Pseudomonadota; Alphaproteobacteria
Description: bacterial SSU rRNA
Rfam family: Bacterial small subunit ribosomal RNA
Source: RNAcentral